CUUGCCAUACUCAAAGAGACAACAACAAGUGUUGCUCUCAGGACAAGUGUAGUAACUGUCACAUUGGGUUGGAGGCUUGAUGGGAGAUGGAGGUGAAGGUCCCGGGUUUGGUGGGUUUUCGCCAUUCUUGAUUGGGUAUGAAGGUUCAAUCGCGAUUCCACAUUUUCCAGAUGAAGACGCGAUGUUACGCGCCAUCUUUAAGUAUCCACUCUCUCCCCAACUUUUACCCCAUGAGUUUCUCACAAUCCAGUAGUCUUUGCCGUUCUCGGUUCCGUAUCCAACCGCCACAACUCCGUGGUCUAGUUGUGUUCCACAAGUUCCAUCAAAUAUACCCUUCAGAGAAAAAAGAACACAUCAAUACAUUAGAACAAAGGUGUGUACCAAUAUGACAUUUUGAGACCAAAAAUAGUGAAAAUAAUCAACCAACUAUGAGAUGCAAUUGUUUUAUGCGCCAAUUUCUGCGUUUACAUAUGAAUAAAACUUCACAUUUUCAAAAACUAAUAACAUUUUUUAAGUUUUUCGUCGAAUUCUUUUUGUAAAGUGUAAACGCAAACACCAAACAGAGUUUCCUCUUCCGUUUGUAUUUGGUGUUUACAAAUAACAAAAGAAGAAUAAAAUGGAUGCAUGUAUAUGGAUAAAAAUUAACAAACUAUCAAACACCUAAGAACUAUGAGAAGAUGGUUAAAUUUGUACCGAAUCAUAGAGCUGGAACGCACGACCACCAGCCUCAAUGGCGACGCUAACGGGUUGAUGAGCAACUGCUUUCUUCAAUGAUUCCUCGCUGUAAGUG
This 790-nucleotide long non-coding RNA is filed under the name Arabidopsis lyrata. RNAcentral's name for it is "long non-coding RNA (ALYR_LNC003252)". The record is from RNAcentral. Lineage: Eukaryota; Viridiplantae; Streptophyta; Magnoliopsida; Brassicales; Brassicaceae.